UCUUGUCAUUUUAAUUAAAAUAAUUCUGUUUAAUAUUUCACUUAGAAAAAUUUGUUUUAUGUAAAUUAAAGUAACUUUGUAAAACUACAAUUGGAAGCCGGAAAGUUUUUACUCUCAUCAUGAUGCGAAUGUCGUAAAAAUCUGAUAUUUUGAUUUCCAACUCUUCAUUCUCUAUGUAUUCAUAUAGAGAAGGAAUAGUUGGAAACAAAAAUUUGUGUAUUUCUCAGAAAAUUCUAUUUGUCUGGGAAGUGUACGGCCACCAUAGAUUUGAACAAUAACAGAUGCGACACUACCAUAGAGCAAUGGUAUCCAGAAACAUAAUUUCUUUAAGUGGCAUGGAGAUUAACGAAAUUAGUGCAAGCGUCGUCCCUUCUUAUUCAUGUGAUUCUAACGGAUGCCAUCUUCGCACAUGUUCAACCUUAAAUAAACGUAACAGUGCAGAAUACAAUAACGACUACUUAUUGUUUUACUUUAAAUAUUUUGCAUUAAAAAUUAUAUUUUUAUAAUUAUCCAUCAAAAUUUUAGUUUUCUUUAGUUUAAAAAUUAGUGAUUUAUCUGAGUUAAUAACGCCUAUAGCAUAUACAAAAUGAUCAAUACAAAUAGUAUACAUUAAAAUCUGUUUUCCGU
Molecule: long non-coding RNA, 627 nt
Filed under: Androctonus crassicauda
Lineage: Eukaryota; Metazoa; Arthropoda; Arachnida; Scorpiones; Buthidae
Source: RNAcentral